Molecule: non-coding RNA, 46 nt
Organism: Schistosoma haematobium
Lineage: Eukaryota; Metazoa; Platyhelminthes; Trematoda; Strigeidida; Schistosomatidae
Source: Rfam
GCACUGCUGAGGAGUCUCACAACAGAACGAAACGGCUUUCCAGUGC